AAACGACUCUCGGCAACGGAUAUCUUGGCUCUCGCAUCGAUGAAGAACGUAGCGAAAUGCGAUACUUGGUGUGAAUUGCAGAAUCCCGUGAACCAUCGAGUUUUUGAACGCAAGUUGCGCCCGAAGCCUUCGGCCAGGGCACGUCUGCCUGGGCGUCACGC
Molecule: ribosomal RNA, 161 nt
Filed under: Amaranthus hybridus (smooth pigweed)
Lineage: Eukaryota; Viridiplantae; Streptophyta; Magnoliopsida; Caryophyllales; Amaranthaceae
Also listed under: 5 other names
Description: 5.8S ribosomal RNA
Rfam family: 5.8S ribosomal RNA
About the family: 5.8S ribosomal RNA (5.8S rRNA) is a component of the large subunit of the eukaryotic ribosome.
Source: RNAcentral